RNAcentral lists this ribosomal RNA (454 nucleotides) under uncultured bacterium. Its description in RNAcentral is "bacterial SSU rRNA". It matches the Rfam family "Bacterial small subunit ribosomal RNA", at positions 29 to 524 of the family's 1533-position model. The record is from RNAcentral.
AACGAACGCAGGCGGCAGGCCUAACACAUGCAAGUCGAACGCCCUAGCAAUAGGGAGUGGCGCACGGGUGCGUAACGCGUGGGAAUAUGCCCUUCACUGCGGAAUAACGUUUGGAAACGAACGCUAAUACCGCAUAAUGACUCCGGUCCAAAGAUUUAUCGGUGAAGGAUUAGCCCGCGUUAGAUUAGCUAGUUGGUGAGGUAAUGGCUCACCAAGGCGACGAUCUAUAGCUGGUCUGAGAGGAUGAUCAGCCACAAUGGAACUGAGACACGGUCCAUACUCCUACGGGAGGCAGCAGUGGGGAAUUUUGUGCAAUGGGGGAAACCCUGACACAGCGACACCGCGUGAGUGAAGAAGCCUUUUUGGGGUGUAAAACUCUGUCGGCAGGGACGAAAAAAAUGACGGUACCUGCAGAGGAAGCAUCGGCUAACUACGUGCCAGCAGCCGCGGUAAU